UACGGGGGGGGCGAGCGUUGUUCGGAAUCACUGGGCGUAAAGGGCGCGUAGGCGGCCCGCACAAGUCUGCGGUGAAACCCCCGGCUUAACCGGGGGCCGGCCGUGGAAACUGUCGGGCUAGAGGCCGGGAGAGGGCAGCGGAAUUCCCGGUGUAGCGGUGAAAUGCGUAGAGAUCGGGCGGAACACCAGCGGCGAAGGCGGCAUCCUGGCCCUUACCUGACGCUGAGGCGCGAGAGCGUGGGGAGCAACCGG
This 252-nucleotide ribosomal RNA is filed under the name uncultured bacterium. RNAcentral describes it as "partial 16S ribosomal RNA". It matches the Rfam family "Bacterial small subunit ribosomal RNA", at positions 524 to 775 of the family's 1533-position model. The record is from RNAcentral.